This 425-nucleotide ribosomal RNA is filed under the name uncultured bacterium. RNAcentral's name for it is "bacterial SSU rRNA". It matches the Rfam family "Bacterial small subunit ribosomal RNA", at positions 355 to 796 of the family's 1533-position model. The record is from RNAcentral.
UAGGGAAUUUUGCGCAAUGGACGAAAGUCUGACGCAGCAACGCCGCGUGCAGGAGGAAGGCCUUCGGGUUGUAAACUGCUUUUAUCUGUGACGAUUUUGACGGUAGCAGAAGAAUAAGGAUCGGCUAACUCCGUGCCAGCAGCCGCGGUCAUACGGAGGAUCCAAGCGUUAUCCGGAAUUACUGGGCGUAAAGAGUUGCGUAGGUGGCAAGGUAAGCAAAUAGUGAAAUGAUGCGGCUCAACCGCAUGUCCAUUAUUUGAACUGCCUAGCUUGAACAUAGGAGAGGUACCUGGAAUUCCCAGUGUAGGAGUGAAAUCCGUAGAUAUUGGGAGGAACACCGAUGGCGUAGGCAGGGUACUGGCCUAUUGUUGACACUAAGGCACGAAAGCGUGGGGAGCGAACGGGAUUAGAUACCCCGGUAGUCC